GUACUUAAAAGUAAUGCAUUAGGGUUUUAACCAAAAGGCAAAAACAAUUGAUUAAACCCUAAAUUAUAGUUUUAUUGGCAUUACCCAAAUAAUUUAGUUCAAAAUAUUUAUUUCUCUCUCCCAAAGGACAGAGGAUGAUUAAACAAAAUUUUAGGCACUGGUUUCAAUUAAAAAGGAUUUCUAAAUACAUAGUUAUGAUUUAAAUGGCAUAAAACUCAAAUCUGUAAUUUGAAUGUGAUUAAAAUAUUCAAAUUUGAAAUUGGACAGUGCCAAAAGAUUCUACACUUCCUAAGGAUUCAAAAAAGGUGUGGAUCGUGAAAUUUGGACAAGUGGUUUAAAAGUUAUGACGGUUUGAAACACUGGGGGCUUUUCUGCAAAUGUGCACUUUUAUUUCGGCCGAGAAAAUAAAAAAAACUAAAAAAAAUGAACCUGCCACGU
Molecule: long non-coding RNA, 438 nt
Filed under: Brachypodium distachyon (stiff brome)
Lineage: Eukaryota; Viridiplantae; Streptophyta; Magnoliopsida; Poales; Poaceae
Description: long non-coding RNA (BDIS_LNC003109)
Source: RNAcentral